GACGAACGCUGGCGGCGUGCUUAACACAUGCAAGUCGAACGGAAAGGCCCUGCUUUUGUUGGGUGCUCGAGUGGCGAACGGGUGAGUAACACGUGAGUAACCUGCCCUUGACUUUGGGAUAACUUCAGGAAACUGGGGCUAAUACCGGAUAGGAGCUCCUGCUGCAUGGUGGGGGUUGGAAAGUUUCGGCGGUUGGGGAUGGACUCGCGGCUUAUCAGCUGGUUGGUGGGGUAGUGGCUUACCAAGGCUUUGACGGGUAGCCGGCCUGAGAGGGUGACCGGCCACAUUGGGACUGAGAUACAGCCCAGACUCCUACGGGAGGCAGCAGUGGGGAAUAUUGCACAAUGGGCGGAAGCCUGAUGCAGCAACGCCGCGUGCGGGAUGACGGCCUUCGGGUUGUAAACCGCUUUCGCCUGUGACGAAGCGUGAGUGACGGUAAUGGGUAAAGAAGCACCGGCUAACUACGUG
Molecule: ribosomal RNA, 468 nt
Filed under: uncultured bacterium
Lineage: Bacteria
Description: partial 16S ribosomal RNA
Rfam family: Bacterial small subunit ribosomal RNA
Source: RNAcentral